This is a non-coding RNA of Saimiri boliviensis boliviensis (Bolivian squirrel monkey), 202 nucleotides long. The record is from RefSeq and is a predicted model, not a curated record. Lineage: Eukaryota; Metazoa; Chordata; Mammalia; Primates; Cebidae.
GGACUUCAGCUCCCAGUGAAAGUGCAGAGGGUAUGAAAACAAAAAGAGGUUGGCUGUGAACCUAAGCCACUGUGAAGAUCUUGUCCAAAGUACCCCACAGUUCUCCAGUGGAUCAUGCUGACCCCAAGGCUUCAGGUGAUCCCAAUGUGCAGCCAAGUUUGAGAACCAGUGCUCUGAUGGAUUUUCCCUUGUGAAGUGUACC